CCGGAUUUGUGUUAUCGGAGCUGAAUUUAGGAAUGGAGGUAGAGAAAUCCAAGUAUAGGAGCGAAGAUUUGGAUGUGGUGGAGGAGGAGGCUGAUUUGAAGAAGAGUCGGCGAGAUCGUGAUCGGAGUAAUGAGCGGAAGAAGGAUAAGGGUUCAGAGAAGCGUCGAGAGAAGGAUAGGCGGAAGAAACGAGUUAAGAGUAGUGAUUCUGAAGAUGAUUACGAUAGAGAUGAUGAUGAAGAGAGGGAGAAGCGUAAGGAGAAGGAGAGGGAGCGGAGACGGAGGGAUAAGGAUAGGGUGAAGAGACGGUCUGAGAGAAGGAAGAGUAGUGAUUCUGAAGAUGACGUUGAAGAAGAGGAUGAGAGGGAUAAACGCAGAGUGAAUGAGAAGGAGAGAGGGCAUCGAGAACAUGAGAGAGAUAGAGGCAAAGAUAGGAAAAGGGAUAGAGAGAGG
This 452-nucleotide long non-coding RNA is filed under the name Arabidopsis thaliana (thale cress). RNAcentral's name for it is "long non-coding RNA (ATHA_LNC000275)". The record is from RNAcentral. Lineage: Eukaryota; Viridiplantae; Streptophyta; Magnoliopsida; Brassicales; Brassicaceae.